UACAGCUAUUCCACCUCGAAUGUACUUCAUUUCGUCUGAUCUAGGAAGCUAAGGAGGGUUGGUCCUAUUUAGUACAUGGAUGGGAGAAAUUCUGAUGUGCUCUAU
RNAcentral lists this ribosomal RNA (105 nucleotides) under Peromyscus maniculatus bairdii (prairie deer mouse). Lineage: Eukaryota; Metazoa; Chordata; Mammalia; Rodentia; Cricetidae. The record is from RNAcentral.